This 469-nucleotide ribosomal RNA is filed under the name uncultured bacterium. Its description in RNAcentral is "bacterial SSU rRNA". It matches the Rfam family "Bacterial small subunit ribosomal RNA", at positions 328 to 793 of the family's 1533-position model. The record is from RNAcentral.
AUUCCAGACUCCUACGGGAGGCAGCAGUGAGGAAUAUUGGUCAAUGGGCGGAAGCCUGAACCAGCCAAGUCGCGUGAGGGAUUAAGGCCCUGCGGGUCGUAAACCUCUUUUGCCGGGGAGCAGUGGUCCGGACGCGUCCGGACCGGGAGAGUACCCGGAGAAAAAGCAUCGGCUAACUCCGUGCCAGCAGCCGCGGUAAUACGUAGGGGGCAAGCGUUAUCCGGAUUUACUGGGUGUAAAGGGAGCGUAGACGGCAGUGCAAGUCUGGAGUGAAAGGCGGGGGCUCAACCCCCGGACUGCUCUGGAAACUGUACGGCUGGAGUGCAGGAGAGGUAAGUGGAAUUCCUAGUGUAGCUGUGAAAUGCGUAGAUAUUAGGAGGAACACCAGUGGCGAAGGCGGCUUACUGGACUGUAACUGACGUUGAGGCUCGAAAGCGUGGGGAGCAAACAGGAUUAGAUACCCUAGUAG